CGAAUAUAAAAAUACAAUGAAUAUAAUCGAUAACUUGAUACAAUUAGUUACAUCGCACUUGAAAGUGCAAAUUAAGGAGACAGACGUCAUUAACGCAACGAAAAUCAAAAACUAUUGCAAACUAUUAAAAAAACAACAUAAUUUAACAGUAUUUGAACAAGUCAUGGGUGACAACUAUGAUAAUAUGGUAUUAUUAUGGUCGUUGAAGCACAUUCAGGAAAAUAUGGAAUUACUGCAGAUAUUAAGUCUACCACUUGAUGAAAAACUAAAAUCAUUAGCAGACACAUCAAUGGAUUUGUUUUUCAGGGAAUAUUCCCACAUUAUUAACAAUGAACUGUUUGAAAUGAAAUCAUUUAUCAAUAAAACACUACAAAGGAAUGUUGGGAAAUGUGAUAUGCUGCCCGCAUACUACGCUUUCACUCGGAGUUUGUUCUGUGAACACUUGCAAUACACUUUUUUCGGCGGCACUCUGUUUUUGUUUAUCAUGGGUGUUUUUCUGCUAUUAACACUUUUCCUUGUACUCAGAAUGAAGCAGUAUCUAAUUGGCACUCUGAAUUAUCACGCGUUUAUGACUGAUGACAGAAAUGCACAACGUUAUCAAAGUGAAAUUGCUCGACAAAUUGCAUAUGAAGUAAUAAAAAGCAUCUAAAGAAUGAUUUCCGAAGCAAUCGGAAUUGACUAUGUAUGAAAACAGUAGUAAAUUUAUUGUAUGUUUACUAUUCUCGUAUGUAUUUGUGAAAAUAAAAACAAUACAACUAAACAAAA
Molecule: long non-coding RNA, 765 nt
Organism: Dalotia coriaria
Lineage: Eukaryota; Metazoa; Arthropoda; Insecta; Coleoptera; Staphylinidae
Exons: 4
Source: RefSeq, a predicted model, not a curated record